GUACUAUUAAUGUUACCUUUAUCUUACUUUUCUUCUAUUUUCAUCAUACAUAUCUGCAUUCAAAUUAGAAUUAGAUCGAUGUAUCUGGAUUUAAAUUCAGAUUUGAUUGUUUGUACAAAAAAAUCUUAGACUUUGUAGACAGAGGUUUGAAGAAUGUAGCUAACAUAUCAAGGUGUAACGUUGAUUGACAUCUUUUUUUUUUUUUUGCUUGGAUGGACCAUGGAAAAUCUUUGAUUAUUGUUUCAGAUCCGAUCUUGUUGUAUAUAUUCCAACCAAACUUUCAGAAAUUAUUUUGUUCCAUAUAUAUUGUCGUACAAUUCGGUUCAACUUGAUUACCGGUUCUUUUUAUGAGUUUUUUGUAUGUCAAAGAAUAGUGAAAUUAACAAGUUUUAUUUACAUAUAUUUAUGUAGAUAUCACUGUGUCAAGCAAGAUGGAAGAAUCCAAUAUUCCAAUCAAGAUUGAUGAUAAAUCAGCAGGUGAUGUAAAAGAAGAUAAGGUUGAGAUAGAAAAAGAUCUGGAGAUUAAAUCAGUAGAGAAAGAUGAUGAGAAAAAGGAAAAGAAGGAUAAGGAGAAGAAGGACAAAACUGAUGUAGAUGAGGGUAAGGAUAAGAAGGACAAAGAGAAGAAGAAAAAAGAAAAGAAGGAAGAGAAUGUUAAGGGUGAAGAAGAAGAUGGUGAUGAAAAGAAGGAUAAGGAGAAGAAGAAAAAGGAAAAGAAGGAGAAGGGAAAAGAAGACAAAGACAAGGAUGGUGAAGAGAAGAAAUCUAAGAAAGACAAGGAGAAGAAAAAGGACAAGAAUGA
This 802-nucleotide long non-coding RNA is filed under the name Medicago truncatula (barrel medic). RNAcentral's name for it is "long non-coding RNA (MTRU_LNC005410)". Lineage: Eukaryota; Viridiplantae; Streptophyta; Magnoliopsida; Fabales; Fabaceae. The record is from RNAcentral.